UGGGGAAUUGUUCGCAAUGGGCGCAAGCCUGACGACGCAACGCCGCGUGGAGGAUGAAGAAUUUCGGUUCGUAAACUCCUGUCGAGCGGGACGAAAGAUGCGCGGGUUAAUACCCCGCGCAAGUGACGGUACCGCUAAAGGAAGCCCCGGCUAACUCCGUGCCAGCAGCCGCGGUAAGACGGAGGGGGCAAGCGUUGUUCGGAAUCAUUGGGCGUAAAGGGCUCGUAGGCGGACUAGCAAGUCUGGCGUGAAAUCUCCACCGCUCACCGGGGAGAGGUCGCUGGAUACUACUAGUCUUGAGUUCGGUAGAGGGUCGUGGAAUUUCGGGUGUAGCGGUGGAAUGCGUAGAUAUCCGAAAGAACACCGGUGGCGAAGGCGGCGACCUGGGCCUGAACUGACGCUGAGGAGCGAAAGCUAGGGGAGCAAA
This 427-nucleotide ribosomal RNA is filed under the name uncultured bacterium. RNAcentral describes it as "bacterial SSU rRNA". It matches the Rfam family "Bacterial small subunit ribosomal RNA", at positions 355 to 772 of the family's 1533-position model. The record is from RNAcentral.